Molecule: ribosomal RNA, 1932 nt
Filed under: human gut metagenome
Description: bacterial LSU rRNA
Rfam family: Bacterial large subunit ribosomal RNA
Source: RNAcentral
GGGAAAGGUGAAAAGCACUUCGAACAGAAGAGUGAAAUAGUCCCUGAACCCAUACGCCUACAAGCUGUCGGAGCCGCUUCGUGCGGUGACGGCGUGCCUUUUGCAUAAUGAGCCUACGAGUUACUCAUCACCAGCGAGGUUAAGUACUUCAGGUACGUAAGCCGAAGCGAAAGCGAGUCUGAAUAGGGCGUCAAGUUGGUGGUGGUAGACGCGAAACCUUAGUGAUCUACCCAUGGGCAGGGUGAAGGUUUGGUAACACAAACUGGAGGCCCGAACCGGUAAACGUUGAAAAGUUUUCGGAUGACCUGUGGGUAGGGGUGAAAGGCCAAUCAAACUGGGAAAUAGCUCGUACUCUCCGAAAUGCAUUUAGGUGCAGCCUCUGUUGUUUUGUUCUAGAGGUAGAGCUACUGAUUGGAUGCGAGGGCUUCACCGCCUAUCAAAUCCGGCCAAACUCCGAAUGCUAGAACAUGAAGACAGGGAGUGAGCCAGCGGGUGCUAAGGUCCGUUGACGAAAGAGGGAGAACUCAGACCAUCAGCUAAGGUCCCCAAUUAUAUGCUAAGUUGGAAUAAAAACGGGGUGGGACUGCUUAGACAGCUAGGAUGUUGGCUUGGAAGCAGCCAUUCAUUUAAAGAGUGCGUAACAGCUCACUAGUCGAGCGGUCCUGCAUGGAUAAUACGCGGGCAUAAGCAUAUAACCGAAGCUAUGGGAUUGUAGAUGAUACAAUCGGUAGGAGAGCAUUCCAUUCAGCAUAGAAGCAGUACCGUGAGGUAUUGUGGAGCGGAUGGAAAAGCAAAUGUAGGCAUAAGUAACGAUAAUGCGGGUGAGAACCCCGCACGCCGAAAGAUCAAGGAUUCCCCGGCAAUGUCAAUCAUCCGGGGGUAAGUCGGAUCCUAAGGGUAAGCCGAGUGGCGAUCCCGAUGGCAAACAGGUUAAUAUUCCUGUACUGAUCAUAACUGCGAUGCAGCGACGCAGAGGUGACACUGCUGCGUACUGACGGAAUAGUACGUUGAAACCCGUAUUCUUUGAUACCGGUAGUGAAGCACGCCGGUAGAGAUGAAAGGUGAUAGUACCGCAAUGCUUCGGUUGCGCGGAUAAUGCAGGUAAGCUGACUGCCAAGAAAACCUGCUAAGCUUCAGGUAAUGAUCAUCCGUACUGUAAACGGACACACGUGAUCAGGUAGAAAAUACUAAGGCGCUCGAGAGAUUCAUGGUUAAGGAACUAGGCAAAAUGGUCCUGUAACUUCGGGAUAAAGGACGCUCUUGUGAAAGAGCCGCAGAUAAUAGGCCCAGGCGACUGUUUACCAAAAACACAUGGCUAUGCUAAUUCGCAAGAAGAUGUAUAUGGCCUGACACCUGCCCGGUGCCGGAAGGUUAAGAGGAGAGCUCAGAGGUAACUCGAAGGUUUGAAUUGAAGCCCCGGUAAACGGCGGCCGUAACUAUAACGGUCCUAAGGUAGCGAAAUUCCUUGUCGGGUAAGUUCCGACCUGCACGAAUGGUGUAACGAUCUGGGUACUGUCUCAACCAUGAGCUCGGUGAAAUUGUAGUUCCGGUGAAGAUGCCGGAUACCCGCAACGGGACGGAAAGACCCCGUGAACCUUUACUGCAGCUUUGCAUUGAUUUUGGGUAACAGAUGUGUAGGAUAGGUCGGAGGCUUUGAUGCUGCGUCGUCAGGCGUAGAGUAGCCGUCGUUGAAAUACGACCCUUUUGUUAUCUGAGGUCUAAUCCCGUUAGGGAGACAUUGCAUGGUGGGUAGUUUGACUGGGGUGGUCGCCUCCAAAAGUGUAACGGAGGCUUCUCAAGGUACCCUCAAGGCGUUUGGUAAUCGUCUGCAGAGUGCAAUGGCAUAAGGGUGCUUGACUGUGAGACCGACACGUCGAUCAGGUUGGAAACAAGAGCAUAGUGAUCCGGUGGUUCCGCAUGGAAGGGCCAUCG